UACGUAGGGACCAAGCGUUGUUCGGAUUUACUGGGCGUAAAGGGCGCGUAGGCGGCAAUUCAAGUCAUCUGUGAAAUCUCCGGGCUUAACUCGGAACGGUCAGAUGAUACUGCUUUGCUAGAGUGCGGAAGGGGGCAAUCGGAAUUCCUGGUGUAGCGGUGAAAUGCGCAGAUAUCAGGAGGAACACCGGUGGCGAAGGCGGGGUCUCUGGGGCCGAUACUGACGCUGAGGAGCGAAAGCGUGGGAGCGAACAGGAUAGAAA
This 262-nucleotide ribosomal RNA is filed under the name uncultured bacterium. RNAcentral describes it as "partial 16S ribosomal RNA". It matches the Rfam family "Bacterial small subunit ribosomal RNA", at positions 524 to 784 of the family's 1533-position model. The record is from RNAcentral.